CCCCAUGAAUAAGCGUCGGCUAACUACGUGCCAGCAGCCGCGGUAAAACGUAGGGCGCAAGCGUUAUCCGGAUUUACUGGGCGUAAAGAGCGUUGAGGCGGUUCUGUAAGUUGGGCGUGAAAGCCCUCGGCUUAACUGAGGGACGCCGUCCAAUACUGCAGGACUUGAGGGCAGCAGAGGGAGGUGGAAUUCCCGGUGUAGCGGUGAAAUGCGUAGAGAUCGGGAGGAACACCAGUGGCGAAGGCGGCCUCCUGGGCUGCUUCUGACGCUGAAUGCGAAAGCUAGGGUAGCGAACGGGAUUAGAAACCCCGGUAGUCCUAGCUGUAAACGAUGGAUGCUAGGUGUAGGAGGUAUAGAUCCCUUCUGUGCCGAAGCUAACGCGAUAAGCAUCCCGCCUGGGGACUACGGCCGCAAGGCUAAAACUCAAACGAAUUGACGGGGGCCCGCACAAGCAGCGGAGCGUGUGGUUUAAUUCGAUGCUACACGAAGAACCUUACCUGGGUUUGACAUGUAGGUAGUAGUGAAGCGAAAGCGGAACGACCCUUCGGGGAGCCUACACAGGUGCUGCAUGGCUGUCGUCAGCUCGUGCCGUGAGGUGUCGGGUUAAGUCCCGUAACGAGCGCAACCCCUGUCCUUAGUUACAAGUGUCUAAGGAGACUGCCGGCGACAAGCCGGAGGAAGGUGGGGAUGGCGUCAAGUCAGCAUGGCCUUUAUGUCCAGGGCUACACACACGCUACAAUGGCCGGUACAAUGGGUUGCCAAGCCGUGAGGCGGAGCUAAUCCCCCAAAGCCGGUCUCAGUUCGGAUUGUGGGCUGCAACUCGCCCACAUGAAGUUGG
RNAcentral lists this ribosomal RNA (838 nucleotides) under uncultured organism. RNAcentral describes it as "bacterial SSU rRNA". It matches the Rfam family "Bacterial small subunit ribosomal RNA", at positions 478 to 1329 of the family's 1533-position model. The record is from RNAcentral.